GCGAGAAUCUUUCACAAUGGGGGCAACCCUGAUGGAGCGACGCCGCGUGGAGGAUAAGGUCUUCGGAUUGUAAACUCCUGUCAUGCGCGAACAAGGUUGCCGGGUUAAUAACCCUGCAAAUUGAUGGUACCGCAAGAGGAAGAGACGGCUAACUCUGUGCCAGCAGCCGCGGUAAUACAGAGGUCUCAAGCGUUGUUCGGAAUCACUGGGCGUAAAGGGUGCGUAGGUGGCGUGGUAAGUCAGAUGUGAAAGCCCAGGGCUCAACCCUGGAAUUGCAUCCGAUACUCCCACGCUAGAGUACUGAAGAGGUGACUAGAAUUCUCGGUGUAGCAGUGAAAUGCGUAGAUAUCGAGAGGAAUACCAAAGGCGAAGGCAGGUCACUGGGCAGUUACUGACACUGAGGCACGAAGGCCAGGGGAGCAAA
This 424-nucleotide ribosomal RNA is filed under the name uncultured bacterium. RNAcentral's name for it is "bacterial SSU rRNA". It matches the Rfam family "Bacterial small subunit ribosomal RNA", at positions 355 to 772 of the family's 1533-position model. The record is from RNAcentral.